Molecule: non-coding RNA, 29 nt
Filed under: Rattus norvegicus (Norway rat)
Lineage: Eukaryota; Metazoa; Chordata; Mammalia; Rodentia; Muridae
Source: RNAcentral
UAUGAGAUAGGUUGAAAAAUAUUACUUCU